This 1343-nucleotide ribosomal RNA is filed under the name uncultured bacterium. RNAcentral describes it as "16S ribosomal RNA". It matches the Rfam family "Bacterial small subunit ribosomal RNA", at positions 28 to 1378 of the family's 1533-position model. The record is from RNAcentral.
GACGAACGCUGGCGGCGUGCUUAACACAUGCAAGUCGAACGGAAAGGCCCUGCUUUUGUGGGGUGCUCGAGUGGCGAACGGGUGAGUAACACGUGAGUAACCUGCCCUUGACUUUGGGAUAACUUCAGGAAACUGGGGCUAAUACCGGAUAGGAGCUCCUGCUGCAUGGUGGGGGUUGGAAAGUUUCGGCGGUUGGGGAUGGACUCGCGGCUUAUCAGCUUGUUGGUGGGGUAGUGGCUUACCAAGGCUUUGACGGGUAGCCGGCCUGAGAGGGUGACCGGCCACAUUGGGACUGAGAUACGGCCCAGACUCCUACGGGAGGCAGCAGUGGGGAAUAUUGCACAAUGGGCGGAAGCCUGAUGCAGCAACGCCGCGUGCGGGAUGACGGCCUUCGGGUUGUAAACCGCUUUCGCCUGUGACGAAGCGUGAGUGACGGUAAUGGGUAAAGAAGCACCGGCUAACUACGUGCCAGCAGCCGCGGUGAUACGUAGGGUGCGAGCGUUGUCCGGAUUUAUUGGGCGUAAAGGGCUCGUAGGUGGUUGAUCGCGUCGGAAGUGUAAUCUUGGGGCUUAACCCUGAGCGUGCUUUCGAUACGGGUUGACUUGAGGAAGGUAGGGGAGAAUGGAAUUCCUGGUGGAGCGGUGGAAUGCGCAGAUAUCAGGAGGAACACCAGUGGCGAAGGCGGUUCUCUGGGCCUUUCCUGACGCUGAGGAGCGAAAGCGUGGGGAGCGAACAGGCUUAGAUACCCUGGUAGUCCACGCUGUAAACGGUGGGUACUAGGUGUGGGGUCCAUUCCACGGGUUCCGUGCCGUAGCUAACGCUUUAAGUACCCCGCCUGGGGAGUACGGCCGCAGGGCUAAAACUCAAAGGAAUUGACGGGGCCCCGCACAAGCGGCGGAGCAUGCGGAUUAAUUCGAUGCAACGCGUAGAACCUUACCUGGGUUUGACAUGGAUCGGGAGUGCUCAGAGAUGGGUGUGCCUCUUUUGGGGUCGGUUCACAGGUGGUGCAUGGCUGUCGUCAGCUCGUGUCGUGAGAUGUUGGGUUAAGUCCCGCAACGAGCGCAACCCUUGUUCACUGUUGCCAGCACGUUAUGGUGGGGACUCAGUGGAGACCGCCGGGGUCAACUCGGAGGAAGGUGGGGACGACGUCAAGUCAUCAUGCCCCUUAUGUCCAGGGCUUCACGCAUGCUACAAUGGCUGGUACAGAGAGUGGCGAGCCUGUGAGGGUGAGCGAAUCUCGGAAAGCCGGUCUCAGUUCGGAUUGGGGUCUGCAACUCGACCUCAUGAAGUCGGAGUCGCUAGUAAUCGCAGAUCAGCAACGCUGCGGUGAAUACGUUCCCGGG